This 597-nucleotide ribosomal RNA is filed under the name Diekeana alternans. RNAcentral describes it as "Epilachna alternans partial 16S ribosomal RNA". The record is from RNAcentral. Lineage: Eukaryota; Metazoa; Arthropoda; Insecta; Coleoptera; Coccinellidae.
UUAUUAAUAAAAUAUUUGAUCCUUUCGUACUAAAAUAUUUAUUUUAAAUUAAGAUAGAAACCAACCUGGCUUACACCGGUUUAAACUCAGAUCAUGUAAAAUUUUAAAGGUCGAACAGACCUAAUAUUUUAGCUUCUACACCAAAAAUUAAUUUUAAUCCAACAUCGAGGUCGCAAUCUUUUUUUUCAAUAAGAACUUUCAAAAAAAAUUACGCUGUUAUCCCUAAGGUAAUUUAAUCUUUUAAUCAUUUUUAUGGAUCAAGAAUUCAUUAAUUUAUGUUAUUAUAAAAAAAAAGUUUAAUUAAUUUUUUUGUCACCCCAACACAAUUUUAAUUUAAAUUAAAAAUUUUAAAUUCUAAAAUUUAAAAAUUAAAUUAAAAUUAAACUCUAUAGGGUCUUCUCGUCUUUAAAUUAAAUUUAAGCUUUUUAACUUAAAAAUAAAAUUCUAAAAAAAUAAAAUUGAGACAGAAAUUUUCUCAUCAAACCAUUCAUACAAGCUUUCAAUUAAAAAACUAAUGAUUAUGCUACCUUUGCACAGUCAAAAUACUGCGGCCCUUCAAAAAAUUUCAGUGGGCAGGCCCUACUUUAAAUUAAAAUC